GUCGUCGUCAUCCGAUAGUCCAUGGCCAUAAUCAAGGAUCUAAAUGCGAUCAAACCAAAUAUUAGGCUAGUGCCCUUAGUGCUUAAGUUGUGUAACAGCGCAAAAUGGAAGAAUAGAAGCAGAAGCCUGGCUGCAGGAGGAGUACUUGGACCUGGGCCUGAUAUUGUUAGUCCUAGCUAUCGUUUAAUGCUUAGCAAAACAAUUUCCUUUCUACACACAUAAUUCGUUACUAUUAUUUAUAGCCACUAAGUGCAUAGUUUUAUUAUGUAAUGUAUGUAAAUGUAUGUAAAUUAUGAUGAGUUUUAGCCAUUAGUUUAUUUGUUCAUGCAUAAUUUAUCGGUGUACAAACAAAAAUGACAUCAAAACGUAGAACUAAAUCUAAA
Molecule: long non-coding RNA, 383 nt
Organism: Drosophila guanche
Lineage: Eukaryota; Metazoa; Arthropoda; Insecta; Diptera; Drosophilidae
Exons: 3
Source: RefSeq, a predicted model, not a curated record